GCGCAGCAGGCGCGAAACUUCACAAUGUGCGAAAGCACGAUGAGGGAAUCCCAAGUGCUUGCUCGUAAGAGUAAGCUGUUUCUCUGUCUAAAACGCAGAGAGAGUAAGGGCUGGGUAAGACGGGUGCCAGCCGCCGCGGUAAUACCUGCAGCUCGAGUGGUGGCCGCUAUUAUUGGGCCUAAAACGUCCGUAGCCGGUUUAUUAAAUGCCUGGGUAAAUCGGACCGCUUAACGGUUCGAAUUCCGGGUAGACUGAUAAACUUGAGACCGGGAGAAGCUAGAGGUACUCCUGGGGUAGAGGUGAAAUUCUGUAAUCCUAGGGGGACCACCAGUGGCGAAGGCGUCUAGCUAGAACGGGUUUGACGGUGAGGGACGAAGCCCUGGGGCGCAAAACGGGGAUUAGAUACCCCUGUAGU
RNAcentral lists this ribosomal RNA (415 nucleotides) under uncultured microorganism. RNAcentral describes it as "bacterial SSU rRNA". It matches the Rfam family "Archaeal small subunit ribosomal RNA", at positions 330 to 745 of the family's 1478-position model. The record is from RNAcentral.